This 1165-nucleotide long non-coding RNA is filed under the name Homo sapiens (human). Its description in RNAcentral is "HSALNT0154934". The record is from RNAcentral. Lineage: Eukaryota; Metazoa; Chordata; Mammalia; Primates; Hominidae.
GCCUGAGGGGCGAGAGCCCCCAAGGCUGUGGGUAUGAGGCCGGGGCCCUGCACCGGAAGGGAGGGCGGAAGCCACGGGACGUGGAGCAGAUGGUGAGGAUAGUGGGGAGGUAGCAGCAGAGGAUGACCCGAGGCAAAAGUGCAAGUGAAGAAAAGUCGCCUUGCCGGGCAGAGGUACGGGACCAAGGCGCCUCCUCUGGGCUGAGGAGUUAGAGGGAAGAAAAUGGCGCCCUGUCAUGAGGGCGCGAGGUCCGAGUUGAGGGGAGAAGACUGAGGGACACAGAAGUGGCCGAAGUGAGGGCGCUGAGGUCAGCCUGAGCUGAGAGGGCCGGCAGAUCACGCCGCAGCCGAAGUGAACGAACUCGAGUGAGCUCUUCUCUUUUUCAGGAAAUUACUCCAGGAUUUGAAUCAUCACAAGAGAUUCACCAGAGGAUUUUAUACACUUGGGCUGUGGCAGCAGACUAAUUACAUCACAGCACUAGAGCUGAGAUACUGGCUGGGUGGAUUUCAGCAAAUUUCCAAGGGCACAUGACAUGUGGGCACAAAAGCCGGGAUUUCACACCAGGGGAUAAAGUAUAUCAGAAAUGAAGGCUGGGGUAAGUACAAGCAGUUAAGUGCAAUACUUUGUUCUGAGCUUUCUGACAACCAACCCAACCAUUGGAAAUAUAAAGGUUUACAUGGCUCUCAUUUUCUUUUCAAAAAAUACAAAAAGAAAAUUUUAAUGAUACACACUAGUUUCUCAAGAGGCUCAAAUUUUUUUCCUGAUUUUUAUUCUUAGAGCAAUUUCUUAUAUGGGUCUUUAUAUAACAUUUAAAGGGCAGAAUAAUAGACAAUAUCUCCCCGGAUACUUUUUAUCAGCAAGACAGGAAUGUUCCCCAAAUGACACUGCUUAAGAGAACUUUGAGGAGAACUGAGGGCAAGAUACAAGCCAUGGUUCUAUACAGAUAAGUCUACGGAAGCUGCAGAAAUAACAUUCCAGAUCCCCAGGAAUCCACCCACCCACCCCUCCGACUUUGGCCGAACACCAUGGCUGGCUGCCGUGUGAAGAAUGGACUGUAGGGGGUGCCAGAGUGGCUGUGGGAAACAUCCCCUAGAAAUCUAGAAUUCAAAGCACUUACUUUGAGUGAUAUAUCCACAAGAAAGAGCCUUCUGUGCUAAAAGCAAAA